CCUGGAGGUUUAAGAUGAAAACAGGAAGUCUGAUACAGAAGCCCAUGAGAACACAAUAGAAGAAAAGGCUCCCAAGCGCAUCGCAUAGGGCUCUCGCACAGCAGAGGAGAUCAUGCAGGACGAACGGCGGGCAGAGGAAGAAGAGGAUGGGGACCUGCUGAUGCCCCGCUUCCCGCGCUGAUCCUCCACCAAAGACACAUACAAGGCGGCGGGGUCGGCAGGAGCACGGCGGGGUCGUACAUCGCUCUGAUACACAUACAGACAAACACAGGGACCUGGGGAUAUUCGCGUGAAGAUCAGGGACCGGCUGCAGGACACACUGUCAGUGAAUAGCCAGGGAGAAGAAAUCGAGCGCUACAGUAUGGAUGGUCACCGUGUCGCCUUUUAGAGGACAGGAAGUGGACAGGAAGUGGAGUUUCGGCUGAAGCAUUCAGUAAGGAAGUCAUGGGCAUCCUGCAGAAGUUGAAAGAAAAAGAUGGAAUACAUACAGAGAAUAGUUCUUCACAACUGGACUUAUAACAUGUUUUUCUGAGACAGUCCUUCUGUCUGCUAAUUAAACGUCCAAUAAGGUAACUAUAUCAAUGGGAAAGCAGGGAAAUUUGUGCAAGCAGGCAUGUAGUGAUUGCACUAAGUUCGAAGGAUAUCAGUUAGCACUCAGUGCAGCCCUACUAAUUGUAUUUGUAGAUAUAUUCCUAAUCAAAUUUGUUCAUGGGACUCGAGUAUUAUAAAUAUUUCCAGAGUUAGCGGUCUAAGAUAUUCUGAUAAAUCAUUUGAGAUACCCAAUGCUAAUCUAUGGCUAUGUCUUUACGUUAUAAUUGAGAGAAAAUGCUGCUACUUACAUGUUGUUCGUUGUCUGCAAACCUUUCUGCACUGAUAGAUACUGAAUCUUUUAGUUUAAGCAACAGUUUUCUCCUCUUCUUUAAGCUGUAUCUGUCUUUUCUUCUUAUGAGAUUAUAAAGGUUCCUAAAAUUCAAAAAUCAGAGUAUUAAAAGUGCAUUGAUAGUCUGUAAUACCUGAAAUAAUCAUUCCAUCCCAGGUAUUUACUCAUGGAGCUCCCCAAAUAUGAAUCUCUUAGAACCUUGUAUAUUAAAUGAUUAUGUCAAUUUCUGGAACUUCCUUCAUAGUUAAAAAUUAGAUGAACCAUACCUUAUAAAAACAAACUCUUGAAAUGUC
Xenopus laevis (African clawed frog) is the source of this 1173-nucleotide long non-coding RNA. RefSeq lists it as uncharacterized. The transcript is spliced from 3 exons. NCBI's taxonomy places the organism in Eukaryota, Metazoa, Chordata, Amphibia, Anura, Pipidae. The record is from RefSeq and is a predicted model, not a curated record.